Molecule: ribosomal RNA, 468 nt
Filed under: uncultured bacterium
Lineage: Bacteria
Description: partial 16S ribosomal RNA
Rfam family: Bacterial small subunit ribosomal RNA
Source: RNAcentral
GACGAACGCUGGCGGCGUGCUUAACACAUGCAAGUCGAACGGUGAAGCUCCAGCUUGCUGGAGUGGAUCAGUGGCGAACGGGCGAGUAACACGUGAGCAACCUGCCCCUGACUCUGGAAUAAGCGCUGGAAACGGCGUCUAAUACUGGAUACGAGAAGGGUCCGCAUGGGCACUUUCUGGAAAGUUUUUCGGUUGGGGAUGGGCUCGCGGCCUAUCAGCUUGUUGGUGAGGUAAUGGCUCACCAAGGCGACGACGGGUAGCCGGCCUGAGAGGGCGACCGGCCACACUGGGACUGAGACACGGCCCAGACUCCUACGGGAGGCAGCAGUGGGGAAUAUUGCACAAUGGGCGAAAGCCUGAUGCAGCGACGCCGCGUGAGGGAUGACGGCCUUCGGGUUGUAAACCUCUUUCAGCAGGGAAGAAGCGAAAGUGACGGUACCUGCAGAAGAAGCACCGGCUAACUACGUG